GACGGGGGCCCGCACAAGCGGAGGAACAUGUGGUUUAAUUCGAUGAUACGCGAGGAACCUUACCUGGGUUUAAAUGCAGGACGCAAGUCACGUGAAAGCCGAGACCCUCCUUCGGGACGGACUGCAAGGUGCUGCAUGGUUGUCGUCAGCUCGUGCCGUGAGGUGUCGGGUUAAGUCCCAUAACGAGCGCAACCCUCAUCGUUAGUUACCAGCGGAUCAUGCCGGGGACUCUAACGAGACUGCCACCGUAAGGUGAGAGGAAGGUGGGAUGACGUCAAAUCAGCACGGCCCUUAUAUCCAGGGCUACACACGUGUUACAAUGGCCAGUACAAAGGGCAGCUACCUGGUGACAGGAUGCUAAUCUCGAAAACUGGUCUCAGUUCGGAUCGAAGUCUGCAACUCGACUUCGUGAAGUUGGAUUCGCUAGUAAUCGCGCAUCAGCAAUGGCGCGGUGAAUACGUUCCCGGGCCUU
RNAcentral lists this ribosomal RNA (472 nucleotides) under uncultured Sphingobacteriales bacterium. RNAcentral describes it as "bacterial SSU rRNA". It matches the Rfam family "Bacterial small subunit ribosomal RNA", at positions 912 to 1382 of the family's 1533-position model. Lineage: Bacteria; Pseudomonadati; Bacteroidota; Sphingobacteriia; Sphingobacteriales. The record is from RNAcentral.